RNAcentral lists this long non-coding RNA (26072 nucleotides) under Physcomitrium patens. RNAcentral's name for it is "long non-coding RNA (PPAT_LNC014604)". The record is from RNAcentral. Lineage: Eukaryota; Viridiplantae; Streptophyta; Bryopsida; Funariales; Funariaceae.
AUCCCCUAAUCCAAUAGAUGUAAUCAAUUCCAAUGAAUCUUCCAGUCCAUUUUCUUCAUAAACACCCAAAAUCCUCUCAUCAUCUUGCAAUGUACCUAUCUUGUGUAACUGUCCUUCAAUAUCAUAUAAUCUUUUUCUUUCUUUUCUUUUAAAAUCAUCAACUUUCUUAUACAUAAUAUUUCCAUUCUCCAAUAUACCAAUAAAACUCGCAUCAAAGGUACCUUCAUCUCGCGAGAGUACCUCCUCUUUUGUACCUCCAUAAUCUCGCUUUACAGUGGUACCUCCCCAAAAUCCUUAAAUCCUUCAACAAUCUUUGGCAUUGGUUUCUCCCUCAACCUAUCUCGAUUCUGUUCAUGGUUAGGAGGUACUGUUAGAAAUUAUACAGCUUUCCUCCCAUCUUCGCUUCGUACCCUUGCAUAAGCAGAACCAUCGUCAAGUACCUUUGUUUCCAUCCAUGUUGCCAUGAUAUAAGGUUGUCCUAAAAUCAACGGAUAAGACGUUGUAUCUUGAACGAAGAAAUGUUGCUCCGUCGCAACAUCCCCAAUCCGAAUUUUGACAUCUGGACAAGCUCCAUAUAAUUCGCCUCGUGUGUUAUUAGCUGCUCGUAUUGCCCAUCCAUGUUCCAUAUCAAUUGGCCAUUUUUGCUUCUUAUAAAGAUCUUUAGACAUGAGAUUUAUUUCAAAACCAUGGUCCACCAAGGCAACUAUUGGUUCUUCUAUAUCUCCUACCUUCACCAAUACCUCAGUAGUUGCCCUUGCCCAAUGCUUUCGAGUAUAAUGGCUCAAAGUUUCCAUUUCCUUGUCACUAGAAUCUUUGAAACGUACUCGCUGAUUAUACCCAUUCUUUUCAUUUGUUGGUUGCUUGUAACCAAUAUCAACCUCUUCUUCAUCUCUACAUAUUCUUGCAUCAAUAGCAUGACUCAUUCCAGUUUCGCUCAUUAAUUGCCUCUUUCGCUUAAUGCUGUCAAUGAUAACAUUAUGAAACUCCUUCUUUGCAAUUUCCAAGACUUCUUUCAAUGUGAAUUCCACCUUAGCGUUUAAUAUACGUUCUUCCAACACCCCUUUCAAAUUUGUUGCCGCUUCAAUGUCAGAAAGUAGCUUAUAAGCAAUUGAUUUGUCCUUAUCUUUUGUCUCCGUUGUUUUUUCUCCCAAUCAUGCUGAGGUAUCCUUUACAGGCAAUUCUUGUGAAGCUGCCUCCUGAGCCUUGUCUCCUCGAGUUUGCCUCUUAAAAGAAUUUCCUUCUCUAGUAUCAUCAAAAUUUCCUCGUCUUUUUUCUUCCAUCAAAGCUUCAUGUUGGCUCUUAGCAAUAUAUGCAUGAACUGAAAGAGACUCAACAGGAUCCUCCCAACCUGUUCUUCCUCGUAUUGUAGCUGCAGUUCUCAAUAACGCUUCUCGAGGUAAUUUCCCUUCUUGCAUUGUAGAAACGGCAGAAGCCCAAAACUCACUAGUUUCCGUACUUCCACCAAUUUCAUCAUCUACUCUAGCACCAUAACUUGCACUUUCUCGUACUACUGUUUCAUGCUCUUUUAAGUAAUCUUGAACCAAUGCUCUCAUUCCUCCCUUGCCAAAAUUGGUUUAAAGAAGAUCUUCCCUAUCUUUCAAUGCUAUCUUCCCAUCUUUUCAGCAAAUAAUUCCCUGCCGUAUCAUAUUAUUAAAUUCAUUGCAAUCUUUUCUAGUGUGUGAAGCAUCAUCACACCAAAUGCAUCUUUGUACAUAUCCUUGUUUUGAAACAUUCUUCGAAUUAUUUAUAGAAGUAUUCUCUUCAAGUCUUGCCAAUUUGAUUUGAAGAUCUCGCAUUCCUCGUAUAAUUUCUUCCAUACCCAUAUUUGCUUUCUUUGACAAGGAUGUCGAAGGUUGAACUGUAGGCAUUGUCGGUGGUGUUGUACGUAUUGGAGCUUUGGGUGCUUGUACUGUUUUUGGAAUAUUGCUCCUAUCCUUCCUCCUUUCUUUUUUUGUAAGCAACCCCACCGCAUCUUCAAUGUUCUUCCACUUCGUUGUCAAUCCUUCAUCUUCUUCUUUGUCUCAAGAAGGGGUUCUAAUUUCUCUUGUAAUUCUCCAUCAGCAGCUUGAAGAAAUAGAUCAACUUUGUUCGGCUCCAAUGUCAAUUUUUCUACCUUCGAUAAUUGAGAGUAUUGCCUCUCAAAUUCCCUUAGUAGCUCUGUUGCUUGCAAAUUCUUAUUGGGCCGUUCAAUCCAUCCCAGAAACAGCUUCUUAGUAACGUGAUCUGCAUCUUCUAAGAAAUAUUCGUCCUUCAAUGCAUGUGAAAAAUCCUCCCAUGAAUUCCCACAACGAUCCGUAAUCGAUGUAAUGUGGUCCCUUAUCUCCGGUAUCGUGGCAAGUCCAAAUAGUGCAAUCAUUUUCUUCUCAGAAACCCGAUUUAAUUCCAUUUCACGAACAUAACAUCUUAAAUACCUUGAAAUAUUCCUCCCAUCAAAUUGAUCAAUUUUAUUGACCACUGCUUGCAAUGCUUUGGUUGCCAAAGCUUCCUUUCGAUCAUUGCUUUGCUGUUGCUGCAUUGAUAAUGAGAAGGCUUGAAACAAACUAGAAAUAGACGGAUCCAUGUGCAUACCUUGUCCUUUAGAAGACUCCCCACCAGAAACUUCUCCCAAAAAUCCUUCAAAAUUUUUAUUUUUGUUUUCCAUAAAAAUAAAGAUAAAAUCAACCAAAAUCCAAUACCUUCUACCUCAAGCAUUCACGUCGGGUUCACCUCUUUUGUUGUAUUACGUGCUUUCCUGCUCGAGAACGCGCCGAGCGUCUGGCUGUAGAAGGUAGUAUGGAGAUUCACCGAUAGUCAAGCAGUCUAUCAGUUUUUGACUGCUGGAAUGUAAACGACUGCAAUAAUGUACGAUAAAUCUAUACGGAUGCUCCUCGACUGCUUGUCGAAGUCUUUUUUUUUGCCCCAGCCGGUAGGUCUCUAGACGUUACAGAGAACCCCGAACAAUCCAAAUUGUUAAUCUUCAAUAUCCCUUUGUACUUACGAUCUUCUAUCCACUGACUGUCCUGUUAGAUUAAUCCAAUAAAUCUCAUUGACUCCGCAUACUCAAUCCUAUAGACACCUCUUUAAUCCUUCAAUCACAGACGUAACUCGAUUUUACAAAACAGUCAAGAGUAUUCAAACCCACUUCAUUUAAAAAUCGCGAUUCACCAUUACAACACUGACUUCAGCAGCGAUUGCCUCAGUCUUUCCAAAACUCUACGAAGAAGAAAAAUCCAAAUUCUAUGUCUUUCCUUCCUCGACCCAAAGCAUGAAGCUCCUCUCUCUAAUUCCCUUGAUCUCCAAAACCCUCCAAUGAAAACCGAACUAGUAACCUUGAAAAGAGCUUGAAGCUAGCUCCUUGAUCCAAAAAAACCCCGAAAGAAAAAAAACCUCCCCCCUCAAAACUAUAUCCUUCCUAACCUUAUCCUCUGAAUUUCUUCAAUCUUCCGUCUUAGAUCCGGAAUUGGCUCCCACCUCAAGCUUGGAUCCGAAAUUGGCUCUCGCCGUCAAGCUUUCUCCUCCAUUUUUACCUUUAAGAGAUCCAUUUACCGUAAACAACGUUCCCUGAAACGGCACAGAGAACAGGACAGCCCGAAACAGAAUCGAAAUCCUGUAAUCGGGACCACAUUGAGUCGCCUGACCAAUUCAGGUCCCAUAUUGGGUAAGAUGCCCGUAGUAACCUGGAUGUUCCCAAAAUUGGGUCAAAUUGGUCAUCGCGUCAGAUUGGCUAAGACCCGUAGUAAGACCUGGAUUUCCCGUAAUUUGACCGGCCAAUUCAGGUCUCAUAUUGGAUAAGAGGACCCGGAUUGGAUUAUCGAAAUUGGAUCCAAUUGGCUCCUCGAACCCGUCGUGUGAAUUGGUCCUUCUCUUCCUGCUGACUCUCGUUAUUGGAAUCGAAUGGAGCAUUUCAGUAUGCCCCGACUGACUGUAACGGAGUGACUGAACCUGACCACUCAGUAUUUGUACUGGAGUUGGUUGAUGCUCCCAAUAUUCGAGGUAACUGAAUAUUAAUAAAAUUCCCCUUUCUUUUUAUUUUCACUGUAUACUCGUGUUACAACACGACAACGGAGCUUGUAAAAUCAUUUCUUUCAACGCGUAAGAUUGUUCUCUCAAUUAGAUUGAUAUUGGUUCCUUGGAAUUCAUGCCUCUUAGAAGAUCUUUCUAUGGAAAGAACGUUUCUUGAAAUUAUAUACAGAACGGAGCAACUCAACAUGGAAUUGAAGCCUCCGUAAUUGGUAUCUCAUUGGAUAGCCCAACCAAUUUAAGUCUUAUACUGAGUAAGGGGCCUAUUUCAGGACCUGGAUUGCAUGUCUUCAUAAUUGGGCUCUUUGCUUCAGGAUCACUCAAAUGUUGAAUUGAUCAUUUUUUUUUAUAUUGACUUCUUGUAAAGACAGCUUGGACUACUUCUACUCGAUGAACUGAUGAAUCUUGAGGACCUUGAUUUAUCUCCUCCAUUUUUCUUUGGCUUUGGAUCUCCUGAUCUUGAUUAUUGAAAUUGAACGGAGCAUUACAUUGCUAAUAAGUAUGUCCCAACUGCUUCCAAUUCAUAUAUACUUGUACAUAAUCAUCAUUGGCUUCGGAAUUGGGACAUUCAUUGGCAUAAUGACCAAUCUGUAUACAACGGAAACAACAAAGUGGUCUUUUUGCACUCCCAUCUGGCAUAUUGGAUGUUUCCAUCAAAAAAUACCUACUAGGCUUAUUCCAUGUAGGGUUAGAAAAUGAUCCUGGUUGUCACAUUUGUAUGGAGGGUACUUAGUUCGAUGACGCUGGUGGAGCAUAUUGGUGAUACCUCUGCUCCUCCUACCUGUAGUUUUGGGAGUUUGAUGCAGACCCUUGAUUAAAAUUGGAACUUCAAAAGUUAUUGAAUGUUUGAUUUUAUCGAUUAGAUCGAUUUCUAUUCCAUCCAUACAUAUUUUCCAUUUGAACUUGAUUGACCUCCCACUGAGUCGGUGGAAUCAUGGUCUGAUUACUGAAUUGUUGUUGCCUUUGUAAAUGCUAGUAGUUUUAGAUAGGAUGCUUUCCUCCGCAAAAUGUACAUUGAACACUCGUUUGUCUGGGUGAUGGACAUUCCGUAUCAAAAUGACCUUGUCCCUUAUAAUUAUUACACCAUACAUUAGAUCUCAUAUUAGAAGGCUUAUGUCAUUUCUACUUAUCUUUAGCCAAAUUCACAGCCAAUUCUUCCAUCUUUUUUGUUAGAUUUAAUAACAAGGCUUCAUUUGGAUCUUUAAUAGUCACAUUUGUGAACAAUUUCAGCUGUUGAUAGGGUGGCAAUGUAAAAUAAGGUAUCAUCAUUAUUGGCGCUAUUGCUUAGAGUGAUUAAGCAUUAAUUGGUUGUUGCAACAUAACAUUCUUCACAUUGGAGGCAGCCAUUUGUGGAUAAUUAUCCAUCGAUACAUUUUUCGGUUGUAUUUGUUGGCUUCCUAAAUUUGAAAUCAUCGUGGCCUCUACUGUUAAUAAUUGAUCAUAAUGAUAUUCUUUCCACAUCUUUGCUCAUGCCAAUGAUGCCUCUACAGUAGCUGGUCAAGCUUCUUUUACAAACAUUUUUAAUUCUGAUAGAUGCAAACCGUUAAUUAAUAUCGACAAUAUAAACGCAUCUAGUAUUUGAUUAUUUGACCAUUUACGAAAUAUAUCUGCGAUUUGGCCAUUAUAAGACUCUACGAAUUUCUCCACAAACAUCCUACUAUUCAUAAAACUUUCUCGAAGUCGAUCUUCAAAUCCAAUUGAUCUAAAAUGGAUUAGAAAGGCAUUCCUCAAGGCCACUCAAUUGAAAAAUCUAUCCACUGGUUGCCGAAUAUACCAUUCAAAAGCUGUAUCUUUUAAAGUUGCUGACAACCAUCUCAACCAAAUAUCUUUAGUUCUACCAUUAUUAGCCUUGUAGGCUGUCAAGAAUUGAGAUAUAUGGUGAUUGGUAUCAAAAUCUAGCCAACCACUAAAAAUAGAUAAUGGUGCCACACUUGUAGUUCAGUCUCCUACUGCUCCUAUUUAUAUUGCAAUUGGUACUUCUGGUACUCCCACGGCCAUUGGUGUUAUCACUAGUCUCUUUACUAUUUGAAUCUGAAUUUUUCUUCCUUUGGUUUUUCUUGGACCUACAAUUCCUUUUUGUUGUUCACGUAGGAUAUUUCUUAUGCUUAAUCACUCCUAUCUUUCUUUUGUUUGUUGAUUAAUUCUUUGAUAAUCCUCCCCUUUAUGAUUAUCACUCAUAAUCUUUCAUUCUUUUUGGCAAAAUUAAUAUUGCCUUGAAUUAUAACUCACAUAUUUGUAACCCUAAAACUAGUUCUUCUCACAUUUUCAUUCAACAUAUAAUUCCAUCUCCCACACAAUCAAUUUCUAACAUUUCAUAUUGUUAUCAUUUCCUUGGCAGCUACGCCAAAAUAUUGUUCUCGUUGUAUUCAAGCUUCAGUGUACCAAAGCAAUUGAACUAAUAGAGGUGGGUUCAAACAUGGAGAAAGAUUGGUUAUAUGAAUUGAGUCUGUUAGUAUCACAAUUGACUGUAUUCUUGCUAUCUCAAAUCAAGUAUCAAACUACAAAACACCGAGGCUUCCUACUUCCAUCUUAAUUCAACCCAUAAUCCAUUCUACGAUUAUCAAUUCAACAAUACUUCUCUCAAUCACAAUUCCUCAUAAGCAAAUAAUAAAGAAAAUAAAGUGGUAGCACCAAUCUUACCUCGGCUUACGACUCUCAUAGUUUGGCUCUCGGCUUCUCUUUCUUCAACCUAUUUAUUCUACCAAAAAGAUGAUCUGUCGGCCAGCAGAUUCCAAGGGUUAUGAUCAUUUGAAUUCUUAACCAUUUAUUCCACUAAUAACCUACGGUUAUCAACUAAACUGUCUAACCAUUUGUCUAAUUCUCAAGGUUAUCAAUAACCAACGAGUAACUUAUCAAAAAGUUUAUUUACCUAUUCUAUAUACCCCAUUGCAAGCUGUACCAUUGAAUGUGACAAUAGCAUAUGUUCCAUAUUUUUCGUACUAAAAACAAGCGUUAACUACAACAGAGUUACCAUUAAUACCAGCUCCAAAAGAUUCCAAUGAAAUCUUGUUAUUGAACUUGAUGAAGAAAAUGGAGGAAAUGGCCAUUAAUAUGGCCAAGGAUAAGGAGAAGAAACACAAGCCUACCAAUAUUAGGACCAAUGUAUGGUGCAGUAAUUGUAAGGGCCACAGUCACUUGUUAACAGAAUGCCCUUUACUCUCACAAAUGAUGGAUCAAUGUACAUUUUAUGGAGAAAAGCACUUAAGAGUUAAUUUUUGGAAUUAGCAAAAGUAACAACAAUUAAGUAAUCAGACCAUGAUCCCACCGAUGCAGUGAAAAGUCAAUCAAGUUUAAAUGAAAAAUAUGUUUGGAUAGAAUGGAAAUCGAUCUAAUUGAUAAAAUUGAACAUUCAAUAACUUUCAAAGUUCCAAUUUUAAUCAAGGAUCUGCAUCAAAUCUCCAAAACUAUGGGAAGGAGCAGUAGAGGUAUUAGUAAUAUGCUCGACCGGCGUCAUCGAACCAAGUACCUUCCAUACCAACGAGACAACCAGGAUCAUUUUCUAACCCUACAUGGAACAAGCUUAGUAGGUAUAUAUCUAUGGAGACACCCAAUAUGCUAGAUGGGGGUGCAAGAAGACCACUUCAUUGUUUCCAUUGUAGACAGAUUGAUUAUUAUGUCAGUAAAUAUCUCAAUCCGAGAGCCAGUGAUGAUUAUAUGCCAAUGUGUAGGAAUUACAAGCAAUCAAGGUAUACUUAUUAGCAAUGUAAUGCUCCAUUCAAUUUCAAUAAUCGAGAUUAGCAAAUCCAAAACCAACGAAAAAUAGAAGAAAUAAAUCAAGGUCCUCAAGAUUCUCUAGUAAAUCAGAUGGAAUGUGUCCAAGCUAUUCUUAUCAGGAGUCAACAAAAGAGAAAAGGACCAAUUUAAUAUUUGGAUGAGCUUGAUGUGAAAGGCCAAUUUGACCUAAUUAUAGGAACAUCCAAUCUAGAUCUUGUUACGGGCCUCUUAUCUAGUAUGAGACUUGAUUUGGUUGGGCAAUCCAAUGAGGUCUUGAUUAUGGAGGCUUCGAUUUCAUUUCAAGCUGUUCUGUUCUCUACGCAAUUUUGAAAAAUAUCCUAUUCGUUGAAAGAUCAUCUCGAGGGCGCAAAUUCCAAAGAAGCUCAGGCUACUGUUCUAAUUCAAAGUUCUGGACAAAAGAAUAUCUUACCUCUCGAAGUUAAACAUAACCCAAUGAAAAGAAAAAGGGCAUUGGGAAUUACCUUAAAUAUGGAACUCUAUGACAUUUUGAAGGAUCUUGAUACUAUUUGACCUUCUAUUUCUAUGAAAAAACUUCUAGUAGUCCCACCAAAGUGUUGUUUUACAUUGAAUUUAUCAUUAACACGGCAUAGGCAACGCAAUAAGGAAGUUUGUGAAGUCAAUUUGAACCUUGACUCAGGUGCACCAACCAUCGAUGUUUCGAUUGACAGUGUUAUGAUCUCGAAUGUUCAGGUGGAUGGUGGUUCCAAUGUCAAUUUAAUGAACGUUGAUACAAUGGAUGCUUUAGAUUUGGAACACUUAGUACCUACAACAUUGGUAUUAAGGAUGGCAGAUCAUAGCCGAGUUAAAUCAAUGGAUAUUUUACGGAGUGUUCAAACUACAAUUGCAGUCGAAUGUUAUAUUUUAGUUAUAACAUUCAACUUUAUCGUAUCUAAUUUUAUUAAGACGACCCUGACUUUAUUAAACAAAGGUCAAGAAUGAUUGGGGUCGAGAUACUUUGAUAAUUGGCAAAGGCGGAGAUAAAAUGGUAUUACAAAUGUACCUAGUACACUAUCACGAUGUCAUAUUGUAACACAACUAUAUCGUAAAAAUAUAAUAAAAAAAUAAAAUUUUAAUUAACAUCUAAUCAUCUUGGUUCAAUAAUAAUUUAAGACAUUUAAACAUGACUUUAUAAAAAGCCACUUAGUUUAUUUUCUUCUCUUAAUAGCUAGUAAAUAAGAAUUAGUUAGUAAUUUUACCUUCAAGAUGUAGUAACUCUUUUACUGCAUUCGAAAGGCCAUAAAAUGAUAAAAAUAAGACAAAGAAGGUAAAUUAGUAGUAUGAUUGAUACUAAGGUUAAGUUGAGGGUAGGGUUGGACUACAAAACCCAUAGGAUAGAUUAGAUUGUUACCCGGGGGUCGGCCGUUUGUAGGACAGGGUCGAAAUCAGACCCCUAGCUACUAAAACGGCUGCAUAGGGCAAAAUAUGGGAGCAUUUGGAGAUCGAGAUUUGGAAUCAGAGAGCUAGCUUCAAGCUCUUUUCAAAGGUAUAAGAGUUAAUUUUAUAGGAUUUGAAAGGACUUUGCAAUCUUUGUUCAAAGUCAGUGUUUGUAUUGGUGAUUUGGGUUUUUUGCAAUAAAAUUAGAACUAGUACUCUUGACUGUUUUGUGUAAUUGGAGAAACAUUUGUAGUUGAAAUUUUAGAGGUAUUUAGAUGAUUGAUUAUGCCAAGUGUAUGAAAAAUUUUGUGUUAAUCUAAUAGUACAAAUAAAGGAUAUUUGAUCAUUAGUGCAAAUUGAUAUCAAAAGUUGACAGGUUUAGGUUGAGUAGGAUUUCUUUGAUAUCUGAAGAUCUAUUAGUUGGAUUAAGAAGAAAAUUGGCAUAUUGUUGGAGGACUUAAAGAUCAAGCUACAUACCAAUUUUGAAACAAAGUUAAUAGUUGAAGAAGGAGUAAUCAUUGCUGGGAUUUUUGCUUUACUUUUCAAGUUGGUAGUCAAGUGACAUUGGUGCAAAUUUUGGAGGUUUUCUCACAAUGUACAAGUUGAAUUGGGCUAAAAAUUCUUGAGCAUUUAGAAGACUUACAUUGACAAUUACAUGAAAAAUUCUACAUCAAGUGGAUGGUCGAAUUGGAUGUUAUAGCUUGUUAAAGCUCACUGAUUAGGAUUGAAGUUUACAAGAAAAAAAAUCUAAAUUGCUUAAAUAUGAAAGUAACAAGGUAAUUGAGAUUUAUGUAUGGUUAAGACUACUAAGAAGAGUGUUUUAAGUACUUUUGAAUUGAAAUUCAGAUUAUAUUCUUCUCGCAUGGAUGAAACCUAUUAGGGUUUCUUGGCUACUUGUGAAAUAUAAUCUCACCUUCUACAACUAAGUGCCCAGUGCAUUUUUGAGCAAAACAACACAUAAUACAACAAUAGGGAGUCUCAAUCGCCAAUAUCUAAAUUGAUGUCAGACAAUGAGCUUAGCUCCAAUGAUGAUGCAGUAGCAACAAUUAUGAAGGUGUUGUCAUAAUACAUGAAGUCUUGCUUGAGAAUGCUCCGGGCACCUGGGUAUGGAAGGAAGAAUGGAAAUUGUAAUAACAGAAUCUUAAUUCUAAUAGAAUAUUAAUAAUGCUCUAAUUAGUCCAUAAUAAUGCUAAGUAAGCUUAAUCAAAUUAAAAAAAAAUCUCAAAGAAAGUUAAAAUAAAUAAUAAGAAUUCUUAAAGAAAUAUUAAAAGGAUCAAAAUAUGACUCAAAUACAUCUCAAUUCAAUCUUAAUUUAAUUCUAGUUAAAUUUCUAUUGAACUUCAUUCAAACUUUAGGCCAAAACUAAUUGAAUCUUAAAUCCUAAUAAAAUCCUAUCUCUUAAAUCAAACCCUAAACAAACUUUAAAUCAAAUCCCAAUCAAAUCCUAAAUCCUAAAUCAAACCCUAACUAAAUCCUAAACCCUAAACCAAAUCCUAAUCCCAACCUUAAAUCCUAAAUAAAACCCUAAUGAAAUCCUAAACCUUAAAUCAAAUCCUAAUAAUUUUUGUAACAAAUUUAAACCUCAAUAAAAAAUGAAUAAACCAUUGAUCUUAACUCAAAUUUUUCACACUUUUAAACAAAUAAAUUAAAAACAAGAGCAAAAAAAUUGAUAAGGAUCGGAGUUACCAAAUUGACGAUAACUUCAAAAAUGUGCUCAGGUAUUGGUCGGCUUCCUUCUCUAAUCUUGAUGUCAAUCUUCCAGAGCCAAUAUCUCUCCUUUGUACCGUUUGAUUGAUCUCAAAAAUCUCAUACAUAUAGAAAAAUAAGUCUUAUAUUCUCUCACAUAAGUUUUAUUCCAAUCCAAUAAGUAGAUUGCAAGAAAUCUUAAAAACUCCCACUAGACCUAAAAUUCUACUUUUUUAGACCUUGAUCCACUUAAACCUCAAUAUUCCUCAAUUUAAUCAUUAAAUCAAGCUCAAAUUCAUGUCACAUAUUAAACACAAUUAUAACCAUAAAUCCACAAAAUUUUAUCUGUAGAUCUAUUACAAAAUUCUUAAAAUCAUCCAAAACAUAAACCCUAUUUUAUUUCAUAAAAUCCAAAUCAUUCUAAAUAAACCUUGAUUUUGCAAAGCUCUUACUAAAUCAUAUCAACUCCAAAUCACCCAAAAUCAACACUCAUAGAAACCCUAUCCAAUCUUCUAUCAAACCCUAUUCUUCGAUCUACCAAAGAGUCCUGGAGUCAUCGUCAGGACUUGGUUUUGUGCCUCAAGGUCUGAUUUCGACCCUGGUUCAUAAUCGGCCCUCUCCGGGUAUCAACAUCUAGUUUUUUUUUAAGUAAUUUUUACUAGAAUUUACUCUUAAUUUCCUCCUAAAGAUGUCUAUAUCAUUUAUUUUUCCAAUCUAUCUUAUUUUGCCUUAUUUUUGGCCCUACAAAGUAAGUAGAAGCUAUUUUUUUCUAAAAGGGCAGCAUUACUACUAAAAUUUUUACUACCUUCCUAUCUUUUAUCCAUAUUUUUCUACCUUUUCAUUUAACUUGGCUCUCCUAUAAUAAGAUCUAUAUUAUCAUCUUUCACCAUAUAGUCAUGUUACAACAUGACAGCGUCCGACACCCUAGAGUGAUGGAUCAAUGUGGCAGUUCGGGGGAAAACUUGAUAUAUUCGCCGAAUUCAAAAAUCUUUGCUAAGGUUAGUAUUGAUUGGAUGACUUAGUAUGAUGUAUACCAUGUGAGUGUCUUAGACACAAGAUUCAAUACUUUGCAUAUGGCAGACUUAUCGACUGAUUUCAAACCAACGUGGGAGUUGAAACAGAACAUCGCCACUGCACCUUUAUGUCAAACUAUCACUCUAGCAAUCACAGCAAAGCCUCGGACAAUUAAGGUCUAUGAAAGUAUUAAGGAACAUGAGUUGAUUUACUAGAAUUUUUUUUUUUUGCAUCAUAAAUCCACUUUUUUUUGGACUUAUCAUGAUCUAUAAGGUAUCUCUAUUGAAGUUUGUGAGUAUCAUAUCAUUUUAAAGGAGAAUGCUAAAUCGAUAUGGGAGAGGCAACAUCGCCUUAAUCCUAAAUAUUCCUUCAUGGUGAAGGAAGAAUUGGACAAGCUUCUUACAAUUGAUUUUAUUUAUCCAGUAUCGAAUAGUGAGUGAGUUUCUUCAAUCAUGAUGGUACCAAAAAAGAACAAAAAAAUCUAAUUUUGUCAAGAUUUCUGGAAACUUAAUGCGGCCACUGAGAAAGAUUACUUCCCAUUACCUUUCAUGGAUAGUAUAUUAGAUGUCGUAGCAGGUCACAAAUGUUAUUUGUUCCUUGAUGGAUUUUUUGAGUCUAAUUAAAUUCAAAUUGCACUAGUAUCAUGUUGUAACACGAUUAUAUAGUAAAAAAAUAAAUGAAAAGGAUUUUAUUAAUAGUUAUUCAUCUUGGAUGUUAGAAAUAGUAGCCAAUUUCAGUGCCAAUAUUUAGGGGCCAGUUAAUGUCACCCCGUUGCAAGCUAUACCACCGUACAUGACAUCAGCAAUAUACUCCACUGGCGUCAUCAAACCAAGUAUCCUCCGUACCAACAGGACAACCAAGAUCAUUUUCUAACCCUACAUGGAAUAAGCUUAAUAGGUAUACAUCAGUGGAGAUACCCAAUAUGCUUGAUGGGAGGUGCAAGAAGACCACUUCGUUGUUUUUGUUGCAGAUAGAUUAGUCAUUAUGUUAGUAAAUAUUCUAAUCUCAGAGCCAUGAUGAUUACACGCCAGUGUGUAGAAAUUGCAAGUAGUUGGGGCAUACUUAUCUGAAAUAUAAUGUUCCAUUCAAUUUUAAUAAUCGGGACUAAGAGAUCCAAAGCCAAGGAAAAAUUGAGGAGAUAGUAAAUUGGAUGGAAUGUGUCCAAGCCGUUCUUACCAAGAGUCGACAAAAGAAAAAAUGACCAAUUCAACAUUUGGGUGAUCCUGAUGCAAAGGGCCAAUUUGACCCAAUUAUAGGGAUAUCCAAUCCAGAUCUUGUUACAGGCCUCUUACCCAGUAUGAGACCUGACUCGGUUGGUCAACCUAAUGAGGUCUCGAUUAUGGAGGCUUCAAUUCCAUUUCAAGCUGUUCCGUUCUCUAUGUCGUUUUGGAGAAAAUGUCCUUUCCGUGGAAAAAUCUUUUUAGAGGUGGAAAUUCCAUAGAAGCACGAUCUGCUAUUCCAAUUUGGAGUCUAGGACGAAAGAAUAGAGGACCUCACGGAAUUAAAGAGAAAAGGGAGGAAAAAGAAGAGGGUAUUGGGAGAUCAGGAUUUUGAGGUCGGAGAGCUAGCUUCAAGCUCCUUCGAAAGGUGUAAGACUUGAUUUUUCAUAGGGUUUGGUAGGACUUUACAAUCGUUGUUCAAAGUUUGUGUUUGUAUUGGUGAUUUGGAUUUUUUGCAAUAAAAUUAAGGCUAGUAUUCUUGACUAUUUUGUAAAAUUGAAAAAACAUUUGCAGUUGAAAUUUUAGAGAUGUGUAGAUGGUUGAGUAUGCCAAGUGCAUACAAAAAUUUGUAUUAAUCUAACGAUACGGAUAGAGGAUAUUUGAUCAUUAGUGUAAAGAAGUAUCAGAAGUCGACAUAUUGGAGUUGUUUAGGGUUUCUGUAAUAUCUAACGAUCUAUUAGUUGGAAUAAGGUGAAUUUUGACGUAAUAAGUCGAGGACUUAAAGACGGAGCUGCAUAUAAGGUUUGAAUGAGAAUUAACGGUUGGAGAAGGAGAAAUUAUAAAUCAAGAUACUUCAUCAACUUUCUAGGUGUUAGUCAAGGAACAUCAGUGUGGAUUUAUGGUAUUUUCUUGCAAUCUGUAAGUUAGAUUGGAUUGAAACUUCUUCAGCAUUUAGAAGACUUGCAAAGACACUAGCAGUAGAAGUUCUACAUCAAUCGGACGAUCAAAUUGAGAAUUUCAGCUUGCCGAAGCUCGUUGUUUAGGAUUAGGAUUUAAAAAUUAAAAAAAUAAAAUAAAAUAAAAAUAAUAUUAAAUUAAAAAAUUAAAAAAUAAUACUAAUAAAAAUAAAAUAAAAUAAAACUAAAAAAUAACAAAAGAAUUUGUGCUUGUAAUAUCUUGAAGUUAUUAAAAAUAGUGUUUUUAAGCACUUUGUAUUAGAAUUAAGCUUUUGCAUUGAGGUCUAAAAUAAUUUGUAUUUAGAUGGUUGAAAUCCAUUAGACUACUUGAAUACUUGUAAAACAUCAUUUUAUCUUCCACAGCCAGAUGUCCAGUGCGUUCUCAAGCAAGAUAGCACGUAAUACGAUAUAAGUGGUGAAUCCGACGUGAAAUACUUGAGUUGGGAGGUAUUAGAAUUCAUUUAUUUUUAUUUUUAUUUUAUGGAGAAUGAAAAUAAAAAUUUUGAAGGAGCUUUAGGAGGAGCUUCAAGUGGAGCUUCUGGUAGGAUUUCUUCUAAACAACAAGGUAUGUACAUGGAUCUGUCCAUUGCUAGUAUGUUUCAAGCCUUAUCAUUAUCUAUGCAGCAACAACAAAGCCAUGAUUGCAAAGAAGCUUUAGUAACCAAAGCAUUAUAAACAGUGGUCAAUAAAAUUAAUCAAUUUGAUGGAAGGGAUAUUUCAAAGUAUUUAAGAUGUUAUGUUCCAGAAAUGGAAUUAAAUCGAGUUUCUGAGAAGAAGAUGGUUAAAUUAUUUAAACUUGCCACGAUACCGGAGAUAAGAGAGCAUAUUACAUCAAUUAUGGAGCAUUAUGGAAUUUCAUGGGAGAUUUUUUCACAUGCAUUAAAAGACGAAUAUUUCUUGGAGGACAUUGAUUAUGUUACUAAGAAACUAUUUCUAGAAUGGAUUGAGUGGCCUAAUAAGAAUUUACAAGCAACAAAGCUACUAAGGAAAUUUGAGAGGUAAUAUUCUCAAUUAUCGAAGGUAGAAAAAUUGACAUUAGAGCCGAACAAGGUUGAAUUAUUUCUUCAAGCUGCUGUUGGAGAAUUACAAGGAAAAUUGGAGUUGCUUCUUGAAGACAAAGAAGAAGAUGAUGGAUUGACAACAAAGUGGAAAAAUAUUAAAAAUGUGGUGGAUUUGCUUGCAAAAAGAAAAAAGAAGAAGGAUAGGAGUAAUAUCCCAAAAGCAGUAUAAGCACCUAAAAUUCCAGUACAUACAACACGAUCAACAAUGCCUAGUGUUCAACCUUCAACAAUUGUAUCGAAAAAAGGAGAUAUGGAGAUUGAAGAAAUUAUAUGUGGAAUGCGAGAUCUUCAAAUCAAAUUGGCAGAGCUUGAAGAAAAUACUUCUACAAACAAUUUGAAGAAUGUUUCAAAACAAGGAUCUGUACAAGAAUGUAUCUGGUAUGAUGAUGCUUCACAUACUAGGAAGGAUUGCAAUGAAUUUAAUAAUAUGGUACAUCAAAGAGUUAUUUACUGGAAAGAUGGAAAGAUUGCAUUAAAGGAUAUAGAGGAUCUCCUUCAAACCAAUUUUGGCAAAAGAGGUAUAAAAGCAUUGAUUCAAGAUUAUUUAAUAAAACAUGGAAUAGCAACAUGAGAGAGUGCAAGUUAUGGUACUAGAGUAGAUGACGACUUUGGUGAGAGUAUAGAAACUAGUGAAUUUUGAUCUUCUGCCAUUUCUACAAUGUAAAAAGGGAAAAUGCCUAAGGAAGCGUUAUUGAGGAUUGUAUCUUCAAUAUGAGGUACAAUCGGUUGGGAAGAUCUUAUUGAGUUUCUUUCAGUUCAUGCAUAUAUUGCUAAAAGCCAACAAGUAGCUUUGAUGGAAGAAAAGAGACGAGGAAAUUUUGAUGAUACAAGAGAAGGAAAUUCUUCUAAGAGGCAAACUCGAGGAGACAAGGCUCGUGAGGCGGCUUCACAAGAAUUGCCUAUAAAGGAUACUUCAGCAUCAUUGGAAGAAAAAACAAAAGAGACAAAAGACAAGGGUAAUUCAAUUGCUUAUAAACUACUUUCUGAUAUUGAAGUCGCAAAAAAUUUAAAAGGGGUGUUGAAAGAACAUAUAUUAAAUGCUAAGGUGGAAUUCACAUUAAAAGAAAUUUUGGGAAUUGCAAAGAAGGAGUGUCAUGAUGUUAUCAUUGAUAGCAUUAAACAAAAGCGGCAAUUAAUGGAUGAAGUUGGAAUGAGGCAUGCUAUUGAUGCAAGAUUAUAUAAAGAUGAAAAAGAGGUUGAUAAUGGUUACAAGCAAUCAACAAAUGAAAAGAAUGGGUAUAAUCAACGAGUACAUUUUGAAGAUUAUAGUAAUAAUGAAAUAGAAGCUUCAAGCCAUUAUACUCAAAAGCAUUGAGGAAGGGCAAGUACUGAAGUAUUGGUGAAAGUAGAAGAUAUAGAAGAACCAAUUGUUACUUUAGUCGACCAUGGUUCUGAAAUAAAUCUUAUGUCUAAGGAUCUUUAUAAGAAGCAGAAAUGACCAACUGAUAUGGAACAUGGAUGGAUAAUACAAGCUGCUAAUAACAUAUGAGACGAAUUAUAUGGAGCUUGUCAACAUCUCUAAAAUUUGGAUUGGAGAUUUUGCGACAAAACAACAUUUCUUUGUUCAAAAUACAAUAUCUUAUCCAUUGAUUUUAGGACAACCUUAUACUACAGCAACACGGAUGGAAACAAAAGUACUUGAUACUAGUUCUGCUUAUUGAAGGAUGCGUAGUGAAGAUAAAAAGAAAGCUAUACAAUUUCUAAUAGUACAUCCUAAUCGUGAACAAAAUCGAGAUAUAUUGAAGGAGAAACUAUUGUCAAAGGUUAUUGAAGAAUUUAAGGAUUUUGGAGAAGUACUACUAUAAAGCAAGAUUAUGGAGGUACAAAAGAGGAGGUACUUUUGCAAGAUGUAGGUACCUUUGAUGCGAGUUUUAUUGGUAUUUUUGAGAAUGGAAAUAUUAUAUAGAAGAAAGUUGAUGAUUUUAAAAAAAACGAAAGAAAAAGAUUAUAUAGUAUUGAAAGGAAAUUACGCAAGUUAAGGACAUUAGAAGAUAAUGAAGAGGAUUUGGAUGAAAACUUAGAAAACAUAUUAUGAAUCAAACAACAACUUGAUUAUUCGGUGCAUACCAGAGGAUGCACAGGUUCAGAGGGAGUGGAUGUUGUGUUGUAACACAACUAUAUAGUAAAAAUAUAAAUGAAAAAGAUUUUAUUAAUAUUUACUCAUCUAGGAUGUUAAGAAUAGUGGCCAAUUCCAGUGCCAAUAUUCAAAGGCCAAUUAAUGUCAACCCAUUGCAAGCUAUACCACCAUACGUGACAUCAGCAAUAUGCUCCAUCGGCAUCAUCGAACCAAGUACCCUCUAUACUAACGAGACAACCAGGAAUAUUUUCUAACCCUAUAUGGAACAAGCCUAGUAGGUAUAUAUUGAUGGAGACACCCAAUAUGCCUGAUGGAGGGUGCAAGAAGACUACUUCGUUGUUUUCAUUGCAGAUAGAUUGGUCAUUAUGCUAGUGAAUAUUUUAAUCCCAGAGCCAUGAUGAUUACGCACCAGUGUGUAGAAAUUGCAAGUAGUCGGGGCAUACUUAUCUGAAAUGUAAUGUUCCAUUCAAUUUCAAUAAUCGGGACUAAGAGAUCCAAAAUCAAGGAAAAAUUGAGGAGAUAAAUUGAAGACCUGAAGUUUCUCUAGUAAAUUGGAUGGAAUGUGUCCAAGCCGUUUUUACCGGGAGUCGACAAAAGAAAAAAUGACCAAUUCAACAUUUGGGUGAUCCUGAUGCAAAGGGCCAAUUUGACCCAAUUACAGGGACAUCCAAUCCAAGUCCUGUUACGGGCCUCUUACCUAGUAUGAGACUUGACUCGGUUGGUCAACCUAAUGAGGUCCUGAUUAUAGGGGCUUCAAUUCCAUUUCAAGCUGUUCCGUUCUCUAUGCCAUUUCGGGAGAAAUGUCCUUUCUAUGGAAAGAUCUUUUUAGAGGUGGAAAUUCUAUGGAAGCGCGGUCUGCUGUUCCAAUUUGGAGUCUAGGAUGAAAGAAUAGGGGACCUCAUGGAAUUAAAGGAAAAAGGGAGGAAAAAGAAGAGGGUAUUGGGAGAUCAGGAUUUUGGGGUCGGAGAGCUAGCUUCAAGCUCCUUCGAAAGGUGUAGGACUUGGUUUCAUUAGAUUAAAGAAGACUUUGCAAUCGUUGCUCAAAGUUUGUAGUUGUAUUGGUGAAUUGGAUUUUUUGUAAUAAAGUUAAGGCUAGUUUGUAAAAUUGAAGAAACAUUUACGGAUCAUAUUUUGGAGAUAUUUAGAUAGUUGAAUAUGUCAAAUGCAUGCAAAAAUUUGUAUUAAUCUAAUAGUACGGAUAGAGGAUAUUUGAUCAUUAGUAUAAAGAGAUAUUAGAAGUCGGAAUAUUGGGGUUGUUUAGGGUUUCUAUAAUAUCUAACGAUCUAUCAGUUGGAAUAAGGUGAAUUUUGACGUGAUAAGUCGAAGACUUAAAGAUGAAGUUGCAUACAAGGUUUGAAUGAGAAUUAAUAAUUGAAGAAGGAAAAAUUGUAAGUCAAGGUUCGUCAUCAACUUUCUAGGUGGCGGUCAAGGGAUAUCAGUGUGGAUUUAGGACGUUUUCUUGUAAUUUACAAAUUAGAUUGGAUUGAAACUUCUAGAGCAUUUAGAAGACUUACAAAUAUACUAGUGGUAGAAGUUUUACAACAAUCAAAUGAUCAGAUUGAGAAUUACAGCUUGGUGAAGCUUGCUAUCUAGGAUUAUGGUUUAAAAAUUAAAAAAUUAAAAAUUAAAAAUUAAAAAAAAAUAAUAAUAUAAAUAAAAAAAUAAAAUAAAACUAACAAAUAACAAAAGAAUUUAUGAUUAUAUUAUCUUAAAGUUAUUAAAAAUAGUAUUUCUAAGCACUUUGUAUUGAUAUUAAGCUUUAUAUUGAAAUCCAAAAUAGUUUGUAUUUAGAUGGUUGAAAUCCACUAGACUACUUGGAUACUUGCAAAACAUCAUUUUAUCUUCUACAACCAGAUGCCCAGUGCAUUCUCAAGCAAGAUAGCAUGUAAUAUGACAACGUAAGGGUUAUCAAUUUAAAUGGAAUAGAAAGCAUAGUGAAGCAAUGUAGAAGCUUAAGGUGUUAUUGGUGACACCUCUAAUUUUAAGAAAAAUUGAUUAUGACUAUAAUAGAUAAAUAAUUCUUAUUGUGGAUACUAGUCCGAUUGCUAUUGAAUGGGCUAUGGAUCAAGAUGAUUGAAGUAGAAAUAGAUUUGCAAUAUGAUUUGGAGCUAAAGUUCUAAGUAGUCGUCAACGUGCAUAUUCGCAAGUCAAAAGAGAACUUUGGCAGUUGUUUCGGCUAUGAAAGCUGAAAGGGAUUAUUUGAUUGGUGCAGUAGUAGUAAUUGAAACAGAGUAAUUGCCAUUGCUUAGAAUGAUUACUAAUUAUUCAACGCCAGAUAUUCCAAUGUUAAAAUGGAUUGCUUAUAUUAAGUCAUUAAAUCCAGAAUUUAAACAUGUUGCUGGAAAAGAUAAUUUAGAAGUAGACAUGCUAUCUCGAGUAAGAUAUGAAAGAGAAGACGAAAUGGUUGAAGACAUUGAUGAUGUUGGAUCAAAAUUCUAUUCAGUAUCAAAUCUUAACAAAGAAGACAAGCUAUUUCUUGAAGAAUUUUAUGAAGGAGAAUUAUUGGAUAUUGGUCAUUACUUGAAUACCUUGACUAAACAAAAAAAUUGGUCUAUAGAAAAAUUUAAACAAAUAAGAAAAAAUACAUAUGGAUUUUUGUUUCAAGAAGGAUUCUUUUAGAAGAGACCAAAGAAAGGAAUUGGAAUGCCACAAAGAGUGAUAGGCAAUAAAGAAGAGAAAAAAAAAUUAUUAAAGGGGUUUAUGAUAGUUUAUGGGCAAGACAUAGAGGAAUUUGGACUACUUUUGUUAAACUUAAGGAACGGUAUUGGCGGAGAAAUAUGUAUCAAGAUAUGCUCUUAUUUGUAGAGUCAUGUAAAAUUUGUCAAGCAUAUUCUCAUAUAUGACAUCGAGAUGGUCUUCAUCCUACAUAUCCUCUAGCUAUUCAUUUUAAAUGGGUUGUUGAUUUGGUUAUUAUGCCAAUCGGGUUAUGAAAAAUGAGAUAUUUGGUCUUAGCUCAUGAAGAUUUAUCAAAUCAAGUAGAAGGAAGAGCAUUGAGAAUAAAAUCUAUAGAAGGAAUUUGUAGAUUUUUGCUUAAAGAUGUUAUUUUCUACUACAGAUGUGUAGAAAAAAUCACUGCAGAUCGUGGAGAAUUAAAUGCACAAAAAGCUCGUAAGUUCUUUGAAAGAUGUGGAAUUAAACUAUCACAGACUACUGCUUAUAAUCCUAAAGGAAAUACAAAAAGUGAACGUGGUCACCUACCGAUUGUGAAAGCAUUAGUUAAAGCUUGUAAUGGAAAGGUUAGAGAAUGGCCAUGACUUUUUUUAUUUGCAUUAUGGGCUCAUUGAACAACUCAUAGCUGAGUAAUGGGAUGUAUGCCUAUUGAGCUUAUAACAAUUCAAAAACUAAUUAUGCCAAUUGAAAAAAAGUACCUACUUGGAGUGUGCUACCAUGGGAAGAUGGAUUGACAAGAGAAGAACUUUUAGCUAUUAGAAUACAAUAAAUAGAGCAAAGAUUAGAAGAUGUGCAAAUAACAUUAGGAAGGUUAAAAAGAUUGAGGUUACAAAAUAAGGCACGAUUUGAUAAGCAACAUUGAUUGAGGCCUAAAACAAUUGAAGAAGGUGAUUGGAUUUUGGUCUAUGAUAGUAGCUUGGACAAUCAACAUAGUACUUUAAAGAAGUUUUCUAAACGAUGGUUUGGACCGUAUGUGGUAACAACUGUUCAUGAUAAUGCAACUUAUUCAUUGCGGAAGUUAGAUGGAAAAAGAUUAAAAAUAUCAAUUGUAGGGAAGGAAACAAAAAUAUUUAAACAAAGAUACACAGAAAUAAAUAUAAAAGACCUUAGUAAGAACAUAGAUAUUUCUGAACAGGAAGAUGAAUUUGACUUGGAUAACAAAAGUGAUGAAGAGGAUUUAGACGAAGACUUAGAGAAUAUAUUAUGAAUCAAACAACAACUAGGUUAUUUGGUGCAUACCAAAAGAUGCACAAGUUCAGAGGAGGUGGAUGUCGUAUUGUAACAUGACUAUAUGGUGAAAAUAUAAAUAAAAAAGAUUUUAUUAAUAUUUAUUCAUCUUAGAUGUUAGAAAUAGUGGCCACUUCCAGUGCCAAUAUUCAGGGGCCAGUUAAUGUCACCUCAUUACAUGCUAUACCAUUGUACGUGACAUCAGCAAUAUGUUCCACCGACAUCAUCGAACCAAGUAUCAUCCGUACCAAUGGGACAACCAAGAUCAUUUUCUAAUCCUACAUAGAACAAAUCUAGUAGGUAUAUACUGGUGGAGACACCCAAUAUGCCUGAUGGGAGGUACAAGAAAAUAACUUCGUUGUUUUCGUUGCAGAUAGAUUGGUCAUUAUGUUAAUGAAUGUCCUAAUCCCAGUGCCAGUGACGAUUACGCGCUAGUGUGUGGAAAUUGCAAGUAGUCCAGGCAUACUUAUGAGCAAUGUAAUGCUCUAUUCAAUUUCAAUAAUCAAGAUCAGCAGAUCCUAAGCCAAGAAAAAAAUUGGGGAGAUAAAUCGAGGACCUCAAGGUUCUCUAGUAAAUUGCGUAGAAUACGUCCAAGCCAUUUUUACUAGGAGUCGAUAAAAGAAAAAAGGACCAAUUCAACAUUUGGGUGACCCUGAUGUGAAGGGCCAAUUUGACCCAAUUACAAGGACAUCCAAUCCAAGUCCUGUUACGGGCUUCUUAUCCAAUAUAAGACCUGACUCAAUUGAGCAACCCAAUGAGGUUUGUUUAUGGAGGCUUCGGUUCCAUUUCAAGCUAUUCCGUUCUCUCUGCCAUUUAGAGAAAAAUGUCCUUUUCAUGGAAACAUCCUCUUAGAGGCGGGAAUUCUAUGGAAGCAUAGUCUGUUGUUUCAAUUCGGAGUCCAAGGCAGAAAAAUAGGAGACUUCACGGAGCUAAAGAUAAAAGAGAGGAAUAGGAAGAGGGCUGUGGUUGAUAGUUUUACUUAUUCUAGAAGAAACCUCCCAAAAUAAACCUGUAUAGGGGAAUUUGAACACGGGGAGUGACUAGUUGCUUAAGCGUUCAUGUUAGGGUCAAACAAUUAAUUACCUCCAAUGUAUCGUCUCUAUUUCCAUUGUCUAAGUACACAAGGAAACUAUAAUCUCUCUUUUCACCUUAUCAAUCUCUUCCUUACAACAAUUCAGUCAUACCAAUAACUGUUAUUUCCACCAAUAUAUCUUCACUCUUAUAAUCUCUAACUGUAAUACCGCAACAUCACAGCUUCAGCACACAAUUACCCUCAUUCCAAUUACUGGAAUUCUUCACAUAGAACUACCAUUCACAUUACAGUGUUUCACACAACUACAGAUUCACUCUUUCUGCUGAACUACAUUCAGAUUUCAGCAUUCAAUCUCUCUUUUUCUCAUUCAAUAACAUAUAAUUCUAAUCACACUUUCAUUCCAUGAUUCACUUCACAAUAUUCAGAAACUCUCAAUACUCUUAUUUCAAAGAAUAUAACAACAAAAGAAAAGAGGUAGCACCGAGCUUACCUUGGCUUACACUAUCACAGUAAUGGCCGUUUCUUCCUCUCUCUCAUCCUCCUUAUCCUACCAUGAGAUACCAACUGCUACAUCUCUAAUGAAAAUUGCUUUUUUUAACUAUUCAUCCAUUUUAAUUACUGAAUUACCUUUCCAACAGUCAUCUAUCUCUGUUUACACUAUAAACUAAGUAUCUACAAAUCAACAAAUAACUACUUAUUCUACAUAGCCCCACUCCUAACUGUGCAGCGUUCUUGCAAAUAACCAGUUCGAAACAAGAACUGAUGACUCCUUAGCAUUGUCCAUACUCAUAGCUACUGAUUACAAUUCUAAAGUCACUUCUUCGUCUUUCCCGUCUGAUACAUUUAUUGGUACUAUGUUUAAUUUGGCUGUUAAAUCUCCAUUAAGUGCUCCCAAUUCACGGACUUGACUUUCCAAUUGCAGAAUUUGGGUGUCUUUUGCCUCUAAUUGGUAUUGUUGUUGCUUCAUCUUCUAUUCCAAUUUGCCAAUUGAACCUUCAAUUGACCCUUGUGGCUGUCGAACGCUGACCAAUUCUUCGUCCAAUUUCUUUGCAACCUCCUUCAGAGUGUUGAUCUCCCCUUGUAUUUCCUCUGUUUUCACUCUGAAUUGGUCACUCAUCGUCUUCUUUUCCUGUUCCAAAGUCAAUUGUCUCUCUGAACCAUUGGACCCCUCUCCCGAACACUGAUUGGUUCUCCUGUCUGCUAGCUUGUUUUUCCUGGUCCCCAUGGAAGUGCCAAUAAAUUGCUCUUCGGUUUUGGUAGUAUUAGAGCUGCUAUCAUCUUCCCUUUCUCCAGCAAUAGUUGACUCAACUCAUAAACUAUUCCAGAUUGUAUAUAAUUGGAACACAGAAGCGUUACAAUUCUACUUGACCUGUGCUUGUAACUCAACUCUGCAUGAAUUCUGGUGGCCAUGUACGCUGCCCAAUUGAACACCAUAUCCUCGAAGGAGCCUAUUGUCGCAUAUAAUAAUCGUUUAGCCAUAUACGUUGUAUAUCUAUUUAGAUUUUGUCCUCAAUGCUCUUCCUUCUAUUUGAUUUGAUAAAUCUUCAGGAGCUAAGACCAAAUAUUUCAUCUGUCAUAACCCAACUGGCAUAAUAAUCAAAUCAACAACCCAUUUAAAAUGAAUAGCCAGAGGAUACGUAGGAUGAAGACCAUCUCGAUGUCGGAUAUUAGAAUACGAUUGACAGAUUUCACAUGACUCUAUAAAUGAAAGCACAUCUCGAUACAUAUUUUUCCACCAAUAUCGUUCCUUGAGUUAAGCAAAAGUAGUCCAGAUUCUUCUAUGCCUUACCCAUAAACUAUCAUGAAACUCCUUUAAUAAUUUUAGUUUUUCUUCCCUCUAGCCUAUCACUCGUCGUGGCAUCCCAAUUCCUUUCUUCGGUCUCUUCCAUAGGAAUCCAUCUCGAAAUAAAAAUCCAUAUGCUUUUUUUCUUAUUUGUUUGAAUUUUUUUGUAGACCAAUUUCUUAGUCAAGGUAUUCAAGUAAUGACCAAUAUCCAAUAAUUCUCCUUCAUAAGAUUCUCCAAGAAAUAGCUUGUCUUCUCUGUUGAGAUUUGAUAUUGAAUAGAAUUUCAAUCCGACGUCAUCAAUGUCUUCAACCAAUUCGUCAUCCCUCUCGUAUCUUGCUCGAGAUAGCAUGUCUGCUACUAAAUUGUCUUUCCCAGUAAUAUGCUUAAAUUUUGGAUUUAGUGACUUAAUAUAAGCAAUCCAUCUCAACAUUGCAAUAUUGUCGUUGAACAGUUAGUAAUCAUUCCAAGCAAUGGCAAGCAAUCUGUUUCAAUUACUACUACUGCCCCAAUCAAAUAGUCCUUUUCAGCUUUCAUAGCCGAAAUGACUCCCCAAAGUUCUCUUUUGACUUGCGAAUAUGCACGCUGACGAAUACUUAAAAUUUUAGCCCCAAAUCGAACUGCAAAUCUAUUUCCAUUUGAAUCAUCUUGACCCACAGCCCAUCCAAUGGCAAUUGGACUAGCAUCCAUAGUAAGAAUCACUGGUCUAUUGCACUUAUAAUCAACCUUCCUCAAUAUUGGAGGCAACAUCAAUAAUUUCUUCAAUCUUUGCAUUGCCUGAAUAUGCCUUUCUUCCCAUUUAAAUCGGUAGCCCUUGCGUAACAGUUCAUAUAAUGGAUCCGCUAUGUGAGCAUAAUGAGGGAUCCAGAUUCGAUAAAAUAUACAUGCACCUAAAAACUUGCGAACCUUUGUUAAAGAAUCACAAUCCUCUUUCAUCCUUCCAAUUGCAUCAACUUAAGUCGGAUCUGGUUUUCUUCCGUAAGAUCCACAUAAAUGUCCAACAAUCACAACCUCUCGUACUCCAAAUACGGACUUUAUACCCGAUAAUGUAAGAUGAACUUCUCCAAGCCGAGUUAAAAUCUUUUCACAAUCUUGUAUAUGAUCAACAACAUAUUUGCAACACCCCCUCGUAUCUAAAGUUUCAUCCUUGUCUCCUUCUCUGCACCCUUUUAUAGGAACAUCAUCCAGAAAAGACAUAGUCUUUUCCGAAAUAAAAUCUCUCAAUACCUUAUUCAUCCCAUUCAUCAUAUGUGCAACUGAGUUAAUCGCACCUUGAGGAAGAGUGCACAUUCUAACCAAUCCAAGUGGUGUCCUCAUUGUUGUCAUAUCUCUACUUCCUUCGACAAGUUGAAAUUGAUCAUAACCUGAAUACAAGUCACCCAUUGAAUAGAUCGCCCUUCCAGCAAACGCCUCAGCAAAUUCAUCCACAAUAGGUCCAAUUCUUGCAUUCCUAACAGUUACAGCAUUCACCGGCUGCAUAUCUUCAAUAAACCGUAGUGACCCAUUCUUCUUAGGUACCGUAAACCAUCGACUAGAAUACGGCACAAAUGAGGGUUCCAAUAUUUUCAUCUUUAUCUUUUCUUUAAAUAGCUCAACCAAUUUAGGUAAAUGUGCCCUCGAUACUGGAAUCGGUCUUAGAUUCCAAGGUACAUGUGGUACAAUGAAGAUAAUCAUAGGUGUUAUAAUAUUUGGAUCCACACACCCAAUUUCAUGAAAUUCGAAAGCAAACGAUCUACCUUAUUUAGCCAACAUCUUUUUGAAGCAAGUAAUUUCCUCCGGCAAUAAAGAACCAUCAGAACCAAUCUUCAAUUCUUCAAAAGUCUCUUUAGUAAACUGAUGUCUAAUACUCAUUAGAUCUCUUAAACUUACUUCUUUUGAUGCUUCUCCCAUUUGUUCUUUAGAAUCUUCUGGUAAUGGUCCGGCAACAGGCUUUACCUUCUUAUAUGCCGUUUUAUAUCUCGCUUCUAUAGUGACUUCUGGUGCUUGAAAAGAUUCAAGUAUGGUAUAAACCUCCCUUGAAUGAAUCUCAACAAUCUUAUCAUUAUCCCCUAACCCAAUAGAUGUAAUCAAUUCCAAUAAAUUUUCCAGUCCAUUUUCUUCAUAAACACCCAAAAUCCUCUCAUCAUCUUGCAAUGUACCUAUCUUGUGUAACUGUCCUUCAAUAUCAUAUAAUCUUUUUCUUUCUUUUCUUUUAAAAUCACCAACUUUCUUAUACAUAAUAUUUCUAUUUUCCAAUAUACCAAUAAAACUCGCAUCAAAGGCACCUUCAUCUCACAAGAGUACCUCCUCUUUUGUAC